RNAcentral lists this transfer RNA (67 nucleotides) under Olea europaea subsp. europaea. Its description in RNAcentral is "tRNA.Val". The record is from RNAcentral. Lineage: Eukaryota; Viridiplantae; Streptophyta; Magnoliopsida; Lamiales; Oleaceae.
UGAGGGGUAGCUCAGUGGUUAAGUUUUGGAUUUACUCUCCAAUGAUCACCAGUUCGAGUCUUCUCAG